CUAGAGAUAGAAAGUUACUUCGGUACAUCGGUGACAGGUGGUGCAUGGUUGUCGUCAGCUCGUGUCGUGAGAUGUUGGGUUAAGUCCCGCAACGAGCGCAACCCUCGUCCUUAGUUGCUAACAGUUCGGCUGAGCACUCUAGGGAGACUGCCUUCGCAAGGAGGAGGAAGGUGAGGACGACGUCAAGUCAUCAUGGCCCUUACGGCCAGGGCUACACACGUGCUGCAAUGGGGCGUACAGAGAGCUGCGAUACCGCGAGGUGGAGCCAAUCUCUUAAAGCGUCUCUCAGUUCGGAUUGUUCUCUGCAACUCGAGAACAUGAAGCUGGAAUCACUAGUAAUCGCAGAUCAGCUAUGCUGCGGUGAAUACGUUCCCGGGUCUU
This 381-nucleotide ribosomal RNA is filed under the name uncultured Sulfuricurvum sp. RNAcentral describes it as "bacterial SSU rRNA". It matches the Rfam family "Bacterial small subunit ribosomal RNA", at positions 1000 to 1382 of the family's 1533-position model. Lineage: Bacteria; Pseudomonadati; Campylobacterota; Epsilonproteobacteria; Campylobacterales; Sulfurimonadaceae. The record is from RNAcentral.